This 561-nucleotide ribosomal RNA is filed under the name uncultured bacterium. Its description in RNAcentral is "bacterial SSU rRNA". It matches the Rfam family "Bacterial small subunit ribosomal RNA", at positions 338 to 916 of the family's 1533-position model. The record is from RNAcentral.
CCUACGGGAGGCAGCAGUGGGGAAUAUUGGACGAUGGGCGAAAGCCUGAUCCAGCAAUGCCGCGUGAGUGAUGAAGGCCUUAGGGUUGUAAAGCUCUUUUACCAGGGAUGAUAAUGACAGUACCUGGAGAAUAAGCUCCGGCUAACUCCGUGCCAGCAGCCGCGGUAAUACGGAGGGAGCUAGCGUUGUUCGGAAUUACUGGGCGUAAAGCGUACGUAGGCGGUUAUUCAAGUCAGAGGUGAAAGCCUGGAGCUCAACUCCAGAACUGCCUUUGAAACUAGAUAGCUAGAAUCACGGAGAGGUUAGUGGAAUUCCGAGUGUAGAGGUGAAAUUCGUAGAUAUUCGGAAGAACACCAGUGGCGAAGGCGACUAACUGGACGUGUAUUGACGCUGAGGUACGAAAGCGUGGGGAGCAAACAGGAUUAGAUACCCUGGUAGUCCACGCCGUAAACGAUGAUAACUAGCUGUUCGGUCUCUACGAGACUGAGUGGCGCAGCUAACGCAUUAAGUUAUCCGCCUGGGGAGUACGGUCGCAAGAUUAAAACUCAAAUGAAUUGACGG